RNAcentral lists this ribosomal RNA (397 nucleotides) under uncultured bacterium. RNAcentral describes it as "partial 16S ribosomal RNA". It matches the Rfam family "Bacterial small subunit ribosomal RNA", at positions 523 to 918 of the family's 1533-position model. The record is from RNAcentral.
AUACGUAGGGGGAGAGCGUUGUCCGGAAUGAUUGGGCGUAAAGGGCGCGUAGGCGGCCCGGUAAGUCUGGAGUGAAAGUCCUGUUUUUAAGAUGGGAAUUGCUUUGGAUACUGUCGGGCUUGAGUGCAGGAGAGGUAAGUGGAAUUCCCAGUGUAGCGGUGAAAUGCGUAGAGAUUGGGAGGAACACCAGUGGCGAAGGCGACUUACUGGACUGUAACUGACGCUGAGGCGCGAAAGUGUGGGGAGCAAACAGGAUUAGAUACCCUGGUAGUCCACACUGUAAACGAUGAAUGCUAGGUGUAGGGGGUAUCGACCCCUUCUGUGCCGCAGUCAACACAAUAAGCAUUCCGCCUGGGGAGUACGGCCGCAAGGUUGAAACUCAAAUGAAUUGACGGGG